This 1021-nucleotide long non-coding RNA is filed under the name Triticum aestivum (bread wheat). RNAcentral's name for it is "long non-coding RNA (TAES_LNC009427)". Lineage: Eukaryota; Viridiplantae; Streptophyta; Magnoliopsida; Poales; Poaceae. The record is from RNAcentral.
CACACCUUGGCUCAUCCAGAUCUGUGAGAUGACGGGCAAGAAGGCACAUCGAGGAGAUUUUAGCUCUUGAGGAACAGAGCACUCGCAACAACCUGAAGUUCAUGAAGGUACUGUUAGUCUUCUAACUUCACUGGAACGAUGCUUCAACUUUAUUCCCCCUUGCUCAUGUCAUGCCCGGUUCCCUCCCUUAUCAUCAUUCCACUCUGACAGUUUUAUGCUUGCUAGGUGCUUGAUGGAAUUCCUAGACGUGUGUUUCCGAGGGAGGUAAAGGCAAAUAAUUUAGAUGAAAUGAUUAACUGAUGAGAUUCUCCCAGUUUCUCUUAUCGGGGUUGAUAUAAUAAGUUCCUUGGCAUGAAUAAUGAAUUCCUGACUAUAGUUGUGUUUCCAUCAAAGAAAAUUCACUCCUUAGUAAUUGAAUAAUUUUUGCAGUUCAAAUUUUAAGGAGACUCUGGUUGAAAAGUAUCUGUUAUUAUUUUCUUUUCCCUUGAUUGUAAGCUUACUGCAUACUCUUUUGUUACCUACAGGUUUCAGGUAAUGGCAUGCGAUUCUGGGAGGUAGCAAAUGACAUUGCUGGAAUGAUUGACAUUGUUACUGUGCUGCUUACCUAUUGAAGUUAAAUAAGAUGUACUAUUACUUUCUUGCGAUAAAACUGAAUUAUAUUUUGCCUGAUUUGCAAAUAUGGGUAACACUGACCUAUUUCUAUAUGAUUACUGAACUUUUAUCCAUCAUUAAUUAGUUUACACUUUACAGGUAAAGCUUUACAACCAUAUCAAAGCCAAUGAUGCAGCUAUACUUUGAUGUACCAAGAUCUGACAAGGUUCUUUUCCAACAGCUUAGAUAGGGCUUCUGCAACUUAUUUUGAUCCAAACCACUGGUAGUAGUUUGGCCUCAGUCCUUUGCAGUUUUGUUGUUGUUAUUAUCUGAUGCAUGAUUAUUUUCUUGCGUUUACUGUCCACCUUUUUCUAAUCUUUAUUAGUUCGUUGAUAAAAUUUGCCCUCAAGGUGUGCCAUUUUGCCAACAG